RNAcentral lists this non-coding RNA (114 nucleotides) under bovine gut metagenome. Its description in RNAcentral is "FMN riboswitch (RFN element)". It matches the Rfam family "FMN riboswitch aptamer (RFN element)". From Rfam's summary of the family: The RFN element is a highly conserved domain that is found frequently in the 5'-untranslated regions of prokaryotic mRNAs that encode for flavin mononucleotide (FMN) biosynthesis and transport proteins. This element is a metabolite-dependent riboswitch that directly binds FMN in the absence of proteins. The record is from RNAcentral.
CUUUGGGGCGGGGUGUGAUUCCCCACCGGCGGUAUAGCCCGCUUACUCCUGUCAGUGACAGGAGCUGAUCCGGUGAAACUCCGGAGCCGACGGUAUAGUCCGGAUGAAAAAGGU